CAAUCCUUUUAUCUAAUUCAGACGAUUUCUGGGCAUUGGAUUUCAUUCAAGCUACUUUAGGGAGUAUAUGCCAUGAAUAGAAAUGUGUCGUUAUCAGCCUUGGGAAGUUGAUUCAUCACAAGUUGAAGAUUCUACACAUGCGGGAAAUGGCAUGGAACGUGUAGAUGCAAGGUGGGAGACACAGAUGGCAAUGUUGGAGGCACGGAUUGCAAAUGUUGAAGCUCGGGUGGAAAGGCUUGAGGCGAGGAUGUUGUAUUUGCAAAAGGGAAUGCGUAUAGUAUGUGGGUUGUUUUUGGUUACUCUUGCAUAUGCUAUAUGCAAAUGAAUGGGAUUGUGACUAAUUGGUUUUAGGCUUCUAAUUGGGUUACUCACAAUUAGAUGCGUACUUUAAAAGGUUCUUUGUAUAAAAUUCAGAUUUUUCAUGCUAAGAUGAAAAUACGAUGGCCAUUUUUGUGAUGCUGUUGUUGACAU
RNAcentral lists this unclassified non-coding RNA (471 nucleotides) under Hevea brasiliensis (rubber tree). Lineage: Eukaryota; Viridiplantae; Streptophyta; Magnoliopsida; Malpighiales; Euphorbiaceae. The record is from RNAcentral.